This 148-nucleotide ribosomal RNA is filed under the name uncultured eukaryote. RNAcentral's name for it is "partial 18S ribosomal RNA". It matches the Rfam family "Eukaryotic small subunit ribosomal RNA", at positions 1299 to 1458 of the family's 1831-position model. The record is from RNAcentral.
UGGUGGAGUGAUUUGUCUGCCUAAUCGCGAUAACGAACGAGACCCUUACCUGCUAAAUAGUCGACCUGGCUUUGGCCGGGACCUAUUUCGGUUACGACUUCUUAGAGGGACUGCGGGCUCCAAGCCCGAGGAAGCCGGGGCAAUAACA